Molecule: ribosomal RNA, 490 nt
Filed under: uncultured bacterium
Lineage: Bacteria
Description: partial 16S ribosomal RNA
Rfam family: Bacterial small subunit ribosomal RNA
Source: RNAcentral
AGUGAACGCUGGCGGUAGGCCUAACACAUGCAAGUCGAACGGCAGCACAGUAAGAGCUUGCUCUUACGGGUGGCGAGUGGCGGACGGGUGAGGAAUACAUCGGAAUCUACUUUUUCGUGGGGGAUAACGUAGGGAAACUUACGCUAAUACCGCAUACGACCUACGGGUGAAAGCAGGGGAUCUUCGGACCUUGCGCGAUUGAAUGAGCCGAUGUCGGAUUAGCUAGUUGGCGGGGUAAAGGCCCACCAAGGCGACGAUCCGUAGCUGGUCUGAGAGGAUGAUCCGCCACCGGGGGUGUGACACCCUGCCCAGUCCCCUGCGGGUGACCGGGGUGGGAAAUGUGGGACUAGGGGGGAACCUCUUACCACCCCAUGCCGCGUGGGGAAAAAAGGCCUUGGGUUUGAAAACCCCUUUUUGGGGGAAAAAAGAGCCAGGGUUUAAUCCCCCGUUGUUGUGGGGGUCCCCAAAAAAAGCACCCCCGAACUCUUCG